This 2257-nucleotide long non-coding RNA is filed under the name Salvia miltiorrhiza (redroot sage). RNAcentral describes it as "long non-coding RNA (SMIL_LNC007337)". Lineage: Eukaryota; Viridiplantae; Streptophyta; Magnoliopsida; Lamiales; Lamiaceae. The record is from RNAcentral.
GGCUAAAAUCUUGACUACAAGAAUUUGACAUUUUGAUAGCUUCUGUACCUGAAAAAAAAAUUAUGACACUUUAGAUUUCAAACAUCUAAUUUCAAUUAUUAAAUAUUAAUGAAGCAAAACUACAUUAUAUAGUGAAACCAAUGUGGAGCAACCAUUUCAUCAAGGCAUCUUCAAAUACCAUUGGUAGUAAUCAUAAACUAAAUCAAUCAUAAAAUUACUACUAAAAAGUUAAUCCAAAAAAAGUAUGCAAAAGAACAUACCUAUCACAACAUCCAACACUCUUUUAUCUUUUACACAAGCCUGUGAAACUCAUUAUAUUAACUGCUAACUAUAAACUAAUUUGAGGCCAGUAAGAAGAGAUCCAAACCUUUUUGUUGCUGGGUUGUUUUAGAGCUAUUCCAACUCCUCGUGUAGCCAUUUCCCAAACAUAAGUGGUACAUGCCACUAACAAACUAAUAAUACAUUAAUAAUGAAUGCUUAAACAAAUAAAAACUCUAAAUCCUAUCCGUAACAGAUUAUUAUGUUAUCAUUAUUAUAUACCUCAUUUGGCUCCUAUAUUGAGUAAGGAUUUCAAUCUCCCUGUGAAACAUAAAUGAUUUAAUUUAUUAUAUGCAAUCUCACUAUAAAUAUAAGUAAAUACAAGCAUCAAGAAUUUGAUGACACCAAUAAAAAUUAAAUUGUCUCAAACCUUGCUCAAAGGGGCAUCUUGUCAUAUUGAGCUAAAACCAAAUGUGUGGUGUUUAAAUCGUCCCCCUGACCCACAUCAUCCAGGUCAUCGUAAUCAUCUUCAUUCAAGGGUUCAUCAUCUCUAGUGUCAUUCUGAACAGGAGCAGGAGUUGCUGCUAGCAUCUCUAUAAGUGCAGAUUGUAAGUCAUAAUAUGAGCAUUUUCAACGAAAUAGUUUUCACAUAUUCACAGAAGCAAAAAGUGAAAUAAAAUGGAUUGGGGAAAAAAUGUAGUUGCCUUAUUUAACAUAUUGCUAAGCAAUUCUAACCUGCUAAUAAUCACUAAAUAAUUAGCCUUUACCAUUAUAAUUAAAAAUCAAAAAUCAAUCUGUAAGAAACCCAACCAAAUUUGAGAUAAACAUAAAACAAGCAAACUUGAUAAAACUGAGACACCACAAAUGAUAACAACCUGAGUUGAUGGCUGAUGAGGCGCUCCCCUCUCACCCUCUUUUAUGUGAAUAAUGUGAGUUAUAAAUCAUAAAAGAUCAUAACUUUUAUGUCAUUUACCCACUUAAGUUGUUGGGUCAGAUACCACAUGAGAUGUCAAAAGUCUUUUUAAAAUUUCAAAAAAGAACCAAUGCAUUGGAGAUAAACUAUUGCCUACGAAUCUACCUGCCAAAGAACCAAAAGAAAUAAAAAAUAAAACAAGUAGCAGAAGAAAAGCACAACAAAAACCAAAGAGUCAAAGCUACUAAUUCUAAGCUUAUUUUCGAAUAAACCAUAUCAGUUAUGGUGGAAACUAGCUAUAAGUCAUGCUCCAUUUUAGUUGAAAUAUUCUCUUGAAACAUAUUAAAGAAAGCAAUUGUAAUGUAGACGAACAAAAGCAAAUCAAAUUACUAAAUAGAAAAACUCUGUUUCGAUGAAGGAAAAACAAAAACUCACUUAGAUAACCCCAUGCCAAUCUAGAUAUAAGUAUUCUCAAUCUUCAAUCCAAGACAUCCAAAUCUGCAAGCCAAAUUCAAGCCAACAAAGUAUUGAGAAACUAAUCUGUAGCAAAAUUAUCCAAAUUCUACACUUCUAAUUGCAACUUAAUUGUUACCCAGAAGAUAAAUUCAAGAUAAAUAUGCACCUAGCUAGAUCUAGAGUUUUUACUUUUUAACGGGCCAAUACCUCUAGGACCCUGUACAUGGUGAGAAAAACAUUGAAGUGUAAUUGAGGGCUCUGAAACAUUACAAAGUUCACAUACAAUCAGUUGAAAAUUCAAAGUAAUCCACAAAAUGUAGAGAUUUGAAGAGAAACCAUAUAACUACCUUAGAUAGUGCAAGGGAGUUCUGGUGGGUCGACUGCAAGGACGAUUAAAAUUGUCGGACCGCAAUAACAUACACUCCUCACGGACCUCACCAAUUGCAGGGGCGUCAAUCCGCGGCUUCUUCGUUUUUUUCUUCUGUUGAGGCGUCGAGAGGGAGAGAAAAUUGUAGUAGCCAGUUAAUUUUUUUUUGUUCAUAGAUUGUGGUUCGUAGGUGGAGUGGGUAGGGCAUGACACAAACAAUUUUAUUUCUUUUGAAUUUUAGAAUAUAACAUAAUUAAAAAAAU